RNAcentral lists this ribosomal RNA (413 nucleotides) under Apanteles sp. Rodriguez26. RNAcentral describes it as "partial 28S ribosomal RNA". It matches the Rfam family "Eukaryotic large subunit ribosomal RNA", at positions 323 to 640 of the family's 3401-position model. The record is from RNAcentral. Lineage: Eukaryota; Metazoa; Arthropoda; Insecta; Hymenoptera; Braconidae.
UUGUUACGAGANCGAUAGCGAACAAGUACCGUGAGGNAAAGUUGAAAAGAACUUUGAAGAGAGAGUUCAAGAGUACGUGAAACCGUUCAGGGGUAAACCUGUGAAACCCAAAAGAUCGAAUGAGGAGAUUCAUCGUCAGCGUAAUCAGUAUUAAUGCAGGCUAUGAUGUGAUAAUAGAAUCCUCGUGGUCACUAGAUUAUACUUGCUUGUGUUAUUUUUGCUGGGUGUGUCGGCGUGCACUUCUCCUCUAGUAGAACGUCGCAACCCGUUGGAUGUUUAUCUAUGGCCUGAUUGGUAGCCUUUGAUAUAAUUUUAUAUUGNAGACCUUUUGGAGUCCUGAUANNCNGUCUGACGGNAUACAUUAUAGUAUUGAGCCGCNNUUAUUUGCGUNANACUUACUGCAAGNANGGCUU